GACGAACGCUGGCGGCGUGCUUAACACAUGCAAGUCGAACGGAAAGGCCCUGCUUUUGUGGGGUGCUCGAGUGGCGAACGGGUGAGUAACACGUGAGUAACCUGCCCUUGACUUUGGGAUAACUUCAGGAAGCUGGGGCUAAUACCGGAUAGGAGCUCCUGCUGCAUGGUGGGGGUUGGAAAGUUUCGGCGGUUGGGGAUGGACUCGCGGCUUAUCAGCUUGUUGGUGGGGUAGUGGCUUACCAAGGCUUUGACGGGUAGCCGGCCUGAGAGGGUGACCGGCAACAUUGGGACUGAGAUACGGCCCAGACUCCUACGGGAGGCAGCAGUGGGGAAUAUUGCACAAUGGGCGGAAGCCUGAUGCAGCAACGCCGCGUGCGGGAUGACGGCCUUCGGGUUGUAAACCGCUUUCGCCUGUGACGAAGCGUGAGUGACGGUAAUGGGUAAAGAAGCACCGGCUAACUACGUG
RNAcentral lists this ribosomal RNA (468 nucleotides) under uncultured bacterium. RNAcentral describes it as "partial 16S ribosomal RNA". It matches the Rfam family "Bacterial small subunit ribosomal RNA", at positions 28 to 507 of the family's 1533-position model. The record is from RNAcentral.